AACGUCGUCGCGUUGUGAAUGAGUGCGACAAUGGACCAAGGACCAACGGAGUAACGGAGGACGAUCGAGGAGAGGAGAACGGGGCCUGGGAGGCAUCGGGCGACGGCGGAGCGACCGUGGGAUCAACGCAGAAUUACAACUCCGCUGUUGCGCAUCGGCCGCUUAAUGCUAAGGUAGCACCGCCACGAUUUUCUCCGAAAUGGCACGGGAUACAAAAUUGUUAUUAGUGGUACAAAUUAGUACAAAAUGGGUACUAAAUAUUCUGAUAGGUCCGGUUUGAUUCUGCCGAUUUGGUCCUGCUAGCU
Long non-coding RNA from Temnothorax curvispinosus, 305 nucleotides. RefSeq lists it as uncharacterized. The transcript has 3 exons. The record is from RefSeq and is a predicted model, not a curated record. NCBI's taxonomy places the organism in Eukaryota, Metazoa, Arthropoda, Insecta, Hymenoptera, Formicidae.